GACGAACGCUGGCGGCGUGCUUAACACAUGCAAGUCGAACGGAAAGGCCCUGCUUUUGUGGGGUGCUCGAGUGGCGAACGGGUGAGUAACACGUGAGUAACCUGCCCUUGACUUUGGGAUAACUUCAGGAAACUGGGGCUAAUACCGGAUAGGAGCUCCUGCUGCAUGGUGGGGGUUGGAAAGUUUCGGCGGUUGGGGAUGGACUCGCGGCUUAUCAGCUUGUUGGUGGGGUAGUGGCUUACCAAGGCUUUGACGGGUAGCCGGCCUGAGAGGGUGACCGGCCACAUUGGGACUGAGAUACGGCCCAGACUCCUACGGGAGGCAGCAGUGGGGAAUAUUGCACCAUGGGCGGAAGCCUGAUGCAGCAACGCCGCGUGCGGGAUGACGGCCUUCGGGUUGUAAACCGCUUUCGCCUGUGACGAAGCGUGAGUGACGGUAAUGGGUAAAGAAGCACCGGCUAACUAC
Molecule: ribosomal RNA, 465 nt
Filed under: uncultured bacterium
Lineage: Bacteria
Description: partial 16S ribosomal RNA
Rfam family: Bacterial small subunit ribosomal RNA
Source: RNAcentral